RNAcentral lists this long non-coding RNA (1546 nucleotides) under Homo sapiens (human). Its description in RNAcentral is "long independently transcribed non-coding RNA 1605, transcript variant 8 (LINC01605)". The record is from RNAcentral. Lineage: Eukaryota; Metazoa; Chordata; Mammalia; Primates; Hominidae.
GUCAGUAAUUUCUCCCCUAGCAAGAAUGAGGAAGAUGAAGAGCUCGGGUAUCUGAGGGCUGGUGUGUCUGCAUGCGUGUGUGUUUUGGGGGCCGACUGAAGGAAGAGAAGGCUGGAGAGAGGGAACAUGGGUCUGAGGGCACAUCGCUAAGGGGUCAAGAGGCCUAAAGGAGGAGUCUAAGGCUCUCCAUCGAACUUGGACUUGGUCUACAUUAGACUUUAACCUCCAUGAGGCUUGGACUUUCAGGCUUCCUCCCUCACACCGCGGGCAGGUGAGGCGUCUGCUACAGGCCUGGUCUCGCAGAGGGGGCCCAGCGCCCCCCGCCGCCGCCUUCUCCUGGAGUCUGUGUGACAGAAUGGGACCUGUGGGAAAGCAGCACGUCAGCACCCAGCCCCGCUUGCGCGCCAGCAGCUAAUUAAAGCCAGGAAGGUGAUGGCGAUUUUCAACUCAUUCCCGUUACAAACAGCCGACCUUCCUACCGAGUUCAAGUACCUUCUGCCUGGCCUGGAAGAACAAUAUCUCUCUGUCUCCCUCUUCCACUGGCCCUCACCUGCCUUCCCCUGAACAUGCAUUUUGCCUGACAGGAGACAGAGGCAGUUGAGAUGGAGUCUUGCUAUAUGGCCCAGCUGGUAAUGCCUAGAUUCUUGAGUCCCUCCCUGGCUCAUCCCUGGGAGCAGCACUGAACCCCUUGUCUGACACCUGUCUGGAAAUGGAGCCUGCACAUUGACCCUAGAUGCUUGCAGCUUGGUCCAGGAGGCCAGCAGGACCAGAGAGAAGACCACAGCGACACAUGGGGAUGGCUGUCCCACAGGCAGAAAUGAGCAGCCGGGAGGAAGCCCAGGCAGCCAGCCACCCAGCUCCCUCCACAUCGUGGCCCUAGAACGGAGUCUUGAAGAAUAAGAAGCCACAGCUUGUCAGGGAAUCAGGCUGGAAAAAUGUUAUGAGACUGAGUAAGACCAGAGUUUCUGGGUCAUUGGUGAGACUGGAUUUCAUAGAAGAGUCUUUGCUACAGCAAAACCUCUCUUCAAGCAAUACACUAUUCAAGCUGCUGGAGGCUAGAUUGACCAGAAAAAUGGGGCCAAUAUCAUGCCUCUUAUGGAGGAGCAGUGUUGAACUUAAUGGAGCAUCUCUGCACUCUUCAAGCUGCUGGAGAAUGAUUCCUCAGCAGUGCCUGGAGAAGACCAGGAGAGGAAGCAGAAGACCCUCCUCAAAGAAGCAGCCUUCACCUCCAGACCUCCCAGCGGGACUUAGACAAUGGGGUUAGGCAGUCACAUGUCUGCACGUGGAAACUUUCUGGGACUGUGCUUGGAUCCUGGCUCUGCCUUUUACUAGCCAUGUGACCUUGGGAAAAUCACUUGACUUCUCCGUGCAGGAUUCCUCAUCUGUAAAAAUGGUCUAAGAUUAGGAGCCACCUCAAGGUUGUUGUAGGAAUUAAAUUAAUUCAUGUUUAUAAAGUGCUUUGAACAGCGUUUGGCACAUGGUAAGUGCUAUGUGGUAAGUGCUGUCUAUUGAUUACAUAAAUAAAAGUGAUCACCAUUAGACUUUC